This is a long non-coding RNA of Alexandromys fortis (reed vole), 2019 nucleotides long. RefSeq lists it as uncharacterized. Lineage: Eukaryota; Metazoa; Chordata; Mammalia; Rodentia; Cricetidae. The record is from RefSeq and is a predicted model, not a curated record. The transcript is spliced from 3 exons.
UGUGACCACAUUGGGUACAUCUCCUAUUUCUGCUUUGCGGUACUAAUUGCCGGUUUUAAUCGGCUUGCUGAGGAUAGGUGACUGAAUCUAGCAUGUUGGGACACGCGCACCGUGACCCUAAGUCCGAUAAUAUUGUCUUCCACAGUAAUUUUUCUCUUGGGAAAAGAAAAGUGUCCUUGAGAUGCAAUGCACGGAGGAAGGACCCUGGAAGCAGCCCAGGCUUGGAGGCAGUUCUUGAACCAUUCAGUGAAUGUGUACCGCUCUGAAGAGAAGGCCCAUCCGUGUAAGGACAGAUCUCUGGAGCUUUGGCAGGAUUUUCUGACAGAGCUGGUGGGUUGAACUGAAACUUCCGCAAGGAUCCCCUCAUCCUGGGUGAGAAGGAGGUUCCUGGAAAAAUUCUACUGCUGUAUCAAAAUCAGGUCUGGUAAAAAACCAACAGUCUCCAGAGACUUUUGCUAACCCCAGCCAGAUUCAAGCAUAUUUUAUGUCACUCCAGCUGCCUGGGCCAAGACCAACCUACAAAGUGCUCCCUAGACAAUGCCAAAGACCUGCACCAGCUCCUGGGACUUCACCAUUGGUACCAACUCUCCCGGAUUAAGGACACCUGCCAACUAAAAUCUGUUUUUUUUUUUCUGCUAUUGUGUCUCAUCCCAUGGCUAGCCCCAUUUCACAGGGCCAAUAAUAGCAAUAUUUUUUUUCUCCUAGCCUCCUGCCUUUUCCUCUCCCCAAGGGGGGGGGAGCUGCCUAAGGACCCCAGGAUGACAGCAAACCACAUACUGCCCCAGCCACACCUCUCCCAGAGUGUAAACCAACACCCAGCUCUCCUCUCUCCCACAUCGCCCCUUGCCCACAGGAAGAAGUCAGAUUUGAGCCAAUGCCCCUUUAUCCAAAGACAGCCUAAAUGUUGGUCAUAAAUAUCACCUCAGCUCCUUGUCACACCCCUAUAUCCAAAGAGUCUGGAAUGUAAGUGUCACCCCAUCCUGCCAAGCACUUAGACUCCAAUUCCCAGCCUGCCAAGCGCUGACCCCUCCCUGGGGAGGGUCAGGGCCACUCCCACUGGGUAUUUAGGGUCGCUGGAACAAAGAACACGUGGUUCUGGGUUUGUGUGUGCGCUCCCUCUGUCUUUCCCCUGCCAUGCUCCCGGCCACCAGGGAGUCUGCCUGUUAAACUUGGGGCAUUUAAUUUGGUUUAAUCUGGCCUGAUUGGAUUCCUUUGUGCCGGUGGAGAGGCUCUGUUAGAAAAGAUUCCUAAGAACAGGAACACUGUGUGGAUGAAUAUACAUAUCACACAGGUGCUGCUGCUGCAUGAACCACAAUGUCUGAUACACAUUACAAUUAGGCUCUUAUAAAAUGCUUAAUAUAAAGCAAAUGCAUUUCCAUAUGCUAGUCAGAAACUGUACCGUGCUCCCUGAGGGACAAGUGCUUAUACAGCACCGUGUAAGGUAUAAACAGUGAAGAGCAGAGCAACAAAGCCAACCUGAAAAGCUCAGGAACACAUGUGACCCAUGUCUGGCAUGAGACAGACGCUGCGUUGCUUCUUUGUCCUUCCUUCCUUCCUUCUUUCCUUCCUUCCUUCCUUCCUUCCUUCCUUCCUUCCUUCCUUCCUUCCUUCCGCAUUGCUUCUUUGUCCUUCCUUCCUUUUUUUUUUUCUCAAUGGGGUCUCUCUAGGUAUCCCUGGAAUUCCAGAACUUGCUAUGUAGAUCAGGCUAGCCUGGAACUCACAGAGAUCCACCUGCCUCUGCUUCUCUGGCACGGAGUCAAAGGCGAGACCUACCACACCUGUGUUCACUCCAUUUUCCUCUGUGAAACAUGGAGUUUCUGCUGGGUCGUCUGUAUUCUUACUGCCCUUUCUGGGCCCAGGAACUUUUGUACCAAGGCACUUGGGCUCUGCUCAGCGGAAUUGUUUCAUCUGCCAACCUGCCCACAGGGGAACCUUGUUUAGCCUGAGUCCAGAGCCUCCCGCAAGGUUUAGACCCCUGCUGCAGGAGAGAAAGGAGGAGAGUGAGGUCAGAAUUAGCAU